RNAcentral lists this long non-coding RNA (606 nucleotides) under Lathyrus oleraceus (garden pea). RNAcentral's name for it is "Pisum sativum (pea) long non-coding RNA (PSAT_LNC021123)". Lineage: Eukaryota; Viridiplantae; Streptophyta; Magnoliopsida; Fabales; Fabaceae. The record is from RNAcentral.
AAGAGACUGACUGAAACUGACUCGGCAGGAUAUCGUAUCCUGGGCCUACUUAGUCUAUCAGGCAUAGACAUCAGAGUCGAAGUAGUUCGGACUGGGGAGACGACACAUGCUCGCUAGGAUGUCGCAUCCUAUGCAUACGUAUCUUCUCGGACGAGAGAAGAAUCAGAGCAUUCGUAGCUCGGCUGACACGCACACAAACAAACACAGGCAAAGGCAAACGGGGAGCCUAAAUGCCAAUCACUGGACUUAUAUCAGCAUCCGAACCUAAACUCACACAAAGAGGCACACGUGGAGCCUGAAUGCCAAUCGCUGGACUUACAUCAGCAUCCGAACCAAACACACGCACACUAGAACCUAACUGCCACUCGAUGGACUUACAUCAGCUUCCAAGCACACAACAACACAACAAGUUAAUAGGGAGUCGAGGACUCGAGCCUAUAACUGUCAAGCACGCACUCAGACAAACAGACAAUAAAUUGCUAAGGAGUCACAGACUCGAGCCUAGCAAAGGUCGGACAACACACACAAAAGAAAGAAAAGGCGCCCGGAGAGAUCAGCUCAAUCUCCUGCCUACAUACUUCAUCUGGUGUGAAGAUCAGGGCGAUG